GCUUACGGCCAUACCACCCUGAGCACACCCGAUCUCGUCUGAUCUCGGAAGCUAAGCAGUGUUGGGCCAGGUUAGUACUUGGAUGGGAGACCGCCUGGGAAUACCAGGCGCUGUAAGCU
RNAcentral lists this ribosomal RNA (119 nucleotides) under Betta splendens (Siamese fighting fish). The record is from RNAcentral. Lineage: Eukaryota; Metazoa; Chordata; Actinopteri; Anabantiformes; Osphronemidae.